This is a long non-coding RNA of Amphimedon queenslandica, 349 nucleotides long. RefSeq lists it as uncharacterized. NCBI's taxonomy places the organism in Eukaryota, Metazoa, Porifera, Demospongiae, Haplosclerida, Niphatidae. The transcript is spliced from 5 exons. The record is from RefSeq and is a predicted model, not a curated record.
UAUUUUACACAAGGACUGCAAUGUGGUGUUAAAGAAUAAGGUCAGACUUGGAAAGAGAUUUAAAAGGUAUUUACAGCUGCAAAUGAUUUAAUGAUUCAGCAAUAAGGUGUAACAAUACUUUCAUAGCAUGGUGAAUGUCUAAGGCUAUUGUCUGAUUUCGUUUGAACUCUUUGAUCAGUGGUGCUUUCACACUCAAGGUGGCACCAGUUUCCAGCUACACAGGUUUCAUAUUGUCAUAGUCUUAGCACUUGAAUACAUAGAUAUGAUCCAUGACUCUUAUUCGUUUUUAAGAUUAAUAAUGAUUAUCUGAUUAACUAUGGCCACGGAAGAUUGAAGCUCACGUAUUGAA